Molecule: long non-coding RNA, 1218 nt
Organism: Humulus lupulus (European hop)
Lineage: Eukaryota; Viridiplantae; Streptophyta; Magnoliopsida; Rosales; Cannabaceae
Exons: 3
Source: RefSeq, a predicted model, not a curated record
UUUCUUCUUCAUAUUUCCCCUAUACACUCACAAAGCCCUAGUUUCAUCUCACUCUAAUCUCUCUAUCUCUCAGUUGAAAUCAAACCCCAGACCCCAUUAUUCUUCCCCUCUCUCUCUCGUAUUCCUGUCUCCCUCUCACUCCAGCUCUCUUUGUGUCUCUGAUUCAAAGUUUUAUUCUUCUAAUCCCUCUCUCUCUCACCCUUUCGCCCAGCUACCAUAGCCAAUAAAGCUGAAAAGAAAAGCCCCAUUUCAUUUUCUUCUUCAUAUUCCCCUAUACACUCUCAAAUCCAUAGCUCCCUCUCACUCAAUUGAAAUUAAACCCAGACCCCAUUAUUCUUCCCCUCUCUCUCGUAUUCCUGUCUCCCUCUCACUCUAGCUCUCUCCGUCUCUCUCAUUCGAAGUUGAGGGUCCAUGACCGAUUUGAUAAUGGUGAGAUGAAUAGGGUUUUUUUGGGUUGUCGGAUUUGAUGAAGGCUGCGGCGGAGGUGCUUGGUAAUGGCGGGUUAGGGUCAGCCUAUAAGGUCGCCAUGGUCAUUUGGGCUGUCUGUGGCGUUCGACGUCGAGAUGAGGCGGUUCGGUGGAGAGAGGAGAAACUGUUAGUCUCUGAGUACAUUCCUAAAGGCAGCUUUUAUGCACGGUAAGAGAAAUCUCCACAUACACACACAAACACAAGAUCAUAAUCUUUUACAGUCAUUAAUUUAUUAAUAUACUUGUUCUAAACUAAUCCAAGGAAUCGCCAGGGGAUCCUCUAUACAGUGUUCUCAAACUACGAUGGGGAAAUCUGAAGUCCAGCAAUGUCCUCUUGAACCACAACCAUGAACCAGUGCUCAGUAUGCUUUUCACCCUCUGAUGAGCCUCAUCAACGCAGCUGCAUGAUGAGCCCCAGCGAUCUUCACACAAGUAAAGCUUGCUUUCCAAAUAAAGAAAAAGGUUAAGGAAAAUGAGUGUGGUAGUUCUAUGGAAGCAUCAAACUGUGUCAAACAGGAAUGAUUGUUGUUGGAACUAAAAACAGCAAUAAAAUGAAAACAGCUUUCAAGAGGGAGCAUGAAGUGGAAUUGCUGCCAACUUCUUUAUAUAUGUAAAUAUGAACUAAAAGUACAAUUUUUGACAUGUGUAUAGAUUUUUGUAUUAUGUUUUAUAUUGAUUUUGUACUAAAUAUUUUUUUUAGUUUGUAUUUUGUUUAUCUAUUUUAUAAAAAUUAAUUUUGAUAUUUUAUUAA